Molecule: ribosomal RNA, 460 nt
Filed under: uncultured bacterium
Lineage: Bacteria
Description: partial 16S ribosomal RNA
Rfam family: Bacterial small subunit ribosomal RNA
Source: RNAcentral
CCUACGGGUGGCAGCAGUGAGGAAUAUUGGUCAAUGGGCGCGAGCCUGAACCAGCCCAGUCGCGUGAGGGCUGAAGGUUCUAUGGAUCGUAAACCUCUUUUAUACGGGAAUAAAGUGUGGGACGUGUCCUAUUUUGUAUGUACCUUAUGAAUAAGGAUCGGCUAACUCCGUGCCAGCAGCCGCGGUAAUACGGAGGAUCCGAGCGUUCUCCGGAUUUAUUUGGUUUACAGGGUGCGUAGGCGGCCGUUUAAGUACGCGGUGAAAGUCUGUGGCGCAACCAUAGAAUGGCCGUUGAAACUGGGGGGCUUGAGGAUGUUUGAGGCAGGCGGAAUGCGUGGUGUAGCGGUGAAAUGCUUAGAUAUCACGCAGAACCCCGAUUGCGAAGGCAGCCUGCCAAGCCAUGACUGACGCUGAUGCACGAAAGCGUGGGGAUCAAACAGGAUUAGAUACCCUUGGAGUC